This 406-nucleotide ribosomal RNA is filed under the name uncultured bacterium. Its description in RNAcentral is "partial 16S ribosomal RNA". It matches the Rfam family "Bacterial small subunit ribosomal RNA", at positions 30 to 526 of the family's 1533-position model. The record is from RNAcentral.
AUUGAACGCUGGCGGCAGGCCUAACACAUGCAAGUCGAACGAGUAGCGGACGGGUGAGUAAUGUCUGGGAAACUGCCUGAUGGAGGGGGAUAACUACUGGAAACGGUAGCUAAUAGCGCAUACCAUCGGAUGUGCCGAGAUGGGAUUAGCUAGUAGGUGGGGUAAAGGCUCACAUAGGCGACGAUCCCUAGCUGGUCUGAGAGGAUGACCAGCCACACGGGAACGGAGGCACGGUCCAGACUCCUACGGUAGGCAGCAGUGGGGAAUAUUGCACAAUGGGCGCAAGCCUGCUGCAGCCAUGCCGCGUGUAUGAAGAAGGACUUCGGGUUGUAAAGUACUUUCAGCGGGGAGGCGUUCCCUGCAGAAGAAGCAUCGGCUAACUCCGUGCCAGCAGCCGCGGUAAUAC